GACGAACGCUGGCGGCGUGCUUAACACAUGCAAGUCGAACGGAAAGGCCCUGCUUUUGUGGGGUGCUCGAGUGGCGAACGGGUGAGUAACACGUGAGUAACCUGCCCUUGACUUUGGGAUAACUUCAGGAAACUGGGGCUAAUACCGGAUAGGAGCUCCUGCUGCAUGGUGGGGGUUGGAAAGUUUCGGCGGUUGGGGAUGGACUCGCGGCUUAUCAGCUUGUUGGUGGGGUAGUGGCUUACCAAGGCUUUGACGGGUAGCCGGCCUGAGAGGGUGACCGGCCACAUGGGGACGGAGAUACGGCCCAGACUCCUACGGGAGGCAGCAGUGGGGAAUAUUGCACAAUGGGCGGAAGCCUGAUGCAGCAACGCCGCGUGCGGGAUGACGGCCUUCGGGUUGUAAACCGCUUUCGCCUGUGACGAAGCGUGAGUGACGGUAAUGGGUAAAGAAGCACCGGCUAACUACGU
This 467-nucleotide ribosomal RNA is filed under the name uncultured bacterium. RNAcentral describes it as "partial 16S ribosomal RNA". It matches the Rfam family "Bacterial small subunit ribosomal RNA", at positions 28 to 506 of the family's 1533-position model. The record is from RNAcentral.